UCAAGGAAGAAGCACACGCCCCACCAUCAACACCCAAAGCUGAUAUUCUAUCUUAAACUACUCCUUG
This 67-nucleotide transfer RNA is filed under the name Chodsigoa hoffmanni. Its description in RNAcentral is "tRNA-Pro". The record is from RNAcentral. Lineage: Eukaryota; Metazoa; Chordata; Mammalia; Eulipotyphla; Soricidae.